This 497-nucleotide ribosomal RNA is filed under the name uncultured bacterium. Its description in RNAcentral is "partial 16S ribosomal RNA". It matches the Rfam family "Bacterial small subunit ribosomal RNA", at positions 28 to 507 of the family's 1533-position model. The record is from RNAcentral.
GACGAACGCUGGCGGCGUGCCUAAUACAUGCAAGUAGAACGCUGAAGAGAGGAGCUUGCUCUUCUUGGAUGAGUUGCGAACGGGUGAGUAACGCGUAGGUAACCUGCCUUGUAGCGGGGGAUAACUCUUGGAAACGAUAGCUAAUACCGCAUAACAAUGGAUGACACAUGUCAUUUAUUUGAAAGGGGCAAUUGCUCCACUACAAGAUGGACCUGCGUUGUAUUAGCUAGUAGGUGAGGUAAUGGCUCACCUAGGCGACGAUACAUAGCCGACCUGAGAGGGUGAUCGGCCACACUGAGACUGAGAAACGGCCCAGACUCCUACGGGAGGCAGCAGUAGGGAAUCUUCGGCAAUGGGGGCAACCCUGACCGAGCAACGCCGCGUGAGUGAAGAAGGUUUUCGGAUCGUAAAGCUCUGUUGUAAGUCAAGAACGGGUGUGAGAGUGGAAAGUUCACACUGUGACGGUAGCUUACCAGAAAGGGACGGCUAACUACGUG